RNAcentral lists this transfer RNA (75 nucleotides) under Candidimonas sp. SYP-B2681. Its description in RNAcentral is "tRNA-Arg". It matches the Rfam family "tRNA". Rfam says of the family: Transfer RNA (tRNA) molecules are approximately 80 nucleotides in length. Their secondary structure includes four short double-helical elements and three loops (D, anti-codon, and T loops). The record is from RNAcentral. Lineage: Bacteria; Pseudomonadati; Pseudomonadota; Betaproteobacteria; Burkholderiales; Alcaligenaceae. RNAcentral also lists the same sequence under 1 other name.
GCGCCCGUAUUUCAAUGGAUAGAAUAAGAGCCUCCGAAGCUUUAGAUACAGGUUCGAUUCCUGUCGGGCGCGCCA